GGUCGGUCGCGGACGGACCGCUCGCCAACCCGGUCAGGUCCGGAAGGAAGCAGCCGUAACGAACCCGGUCCGGGUCGUUGGCCGGCCUCU
RNAcentral lists this signal recognition particle RNA (90 nucleotides) under Alphaproteobacteria bacterium. RNAcentral's name for it is "signal recognition particle sRNA small type". It matches the Rfam family "Bacterial small signal recognition particle RNA". From Rfam's summary of the family: The signal recognition particle (SRP) is a universally conserved ribonucleoprotein involved in the co-translational targeting of proteins to membranes. Archaeal SRP consists of a 7S RNA and homologues of the eukaryotic SRP19 and SRP54 proteins. In most bacteria, the SRP consists of a 4.5S RNA and the Ffh protein (a homologue of the eukaryotic SRP54 protein). The record is from RNAcentral. Lineage: Bacteria; Pseudomonadati; Pseudomonadota; Alphaproteobacteria.